GGUGAACGCUGGCGGCGUGCCUAAUACAUGCAAGUCGAGCGAACGGACGAGAAGCUUGCUUCUCUGAUGUUAGCGGCGGACGGGUGAGUAACACGUGGAUAACCUACCUAUAAGACUGGGAUAACUUCGGGAAACCGGAGCUAAUACCGGAUAAUAUUUUGAACCGCAUGGUUCAAAAGUGAAAGACGGUCUUGCUGUCACUUAUAGAUGGAUCCGCGCUGCAUUAGCUAGUUGGUAAGGUAACGGCUUACCAAGGCAACGAUGCAUAGCCGACCUGAGAGGGUGAUCGGCCACACUGGAACUGAGACACGGUCCAGACUCCUACGGGAGGCAGCAGUAGGGAAUCUUCCGCAAUGGGCGAAAGCCUGACGGAGCAACGCCGCGUGAGUGAUGAAGGUCUUCGGAUCGUAAAACUCUGUUAUUAGGGAAGAACAUAUGUGUAAGUAACUGUGCACAUCUUGACGGUACCUAAUCAGAAAGCCACGGCUAACUACGUGCCAGCAGCCGCGGUAAUACGUAGGUGGCAAGCGUUAUCCGGAAUUAUUGGGCGUAAAGCGCGCGUAGGCGGUUUUUUAAGUCUGAUGUGAAAGCCCACGGCUCAACCGUGGAGGGUCAUUGGAAACUGGAAAACUUGAGUGCAGAAGAGGAAAGUGGAAGUCCAUGUGUAGCGGUGAAAUGCGCAGAGAUAUGGAGGAACACCAGUGGGCGAAGGCGACUUUCUGGUCUGUAACUGACGCUGAUGUGCGAAAGCGUGGGGAUCAAACAGGAUUAGAUACCCUGGUAGUCCACGCCGUAAACGAUGAGUGCUAAGUGUUAGGGGGUUUCCGCCCCUUAGUGCUGCAGCUAACGCAUUAAGCACUCCGCCUGGGGAGUACGACCGCAAGGUUGAAACUCAAAGGAAUUGACGGGGACCCGCACAAGCGGUGGAGCAUGUGGUUUAAUUCGAAGCAACGCGAAGAACCUUACCAAAUCUUGACAUCCUUUGACAACUCUAGAGAUAGAGCCUUCCCCUUCGGGGGACAAAGUGACAGGUGGUGCAUGGUUGUCGUCAGCUCGUGUCGUGAGAUGUUGGGUUAAGUCCCGCAACGAGCGCAACCCUUAAGCUUAGUUGCCAUCAUUAAGUUGGGCACUCUAAGUUGACUGCCGGUGACAAACCGGAGGAAGGUGGGGAUGACGUCAAAUCAUCAUGCCCCUUAUGAUUUGGGCUACACACGUGCUACAAUGGACAAUACAAAGGGCAGCGAAACCGCGAGGUCAAGCAAAUCCCAUAAAGUUGUUCUCAGUUCGGAUUGUAGUCUGCAACUCGACUACAUGAAGCUGGAAUCGCUAGUAAUCGUAGAUCAGCAUGCUACGGUGAAUACGUUCCCGGGUCU
Molecule: ribosomal RNA, 1373 nt
Filed under: uncultured bacterium
Lineage: Bacteria
Description: bacterial SSU rRNA
Rfam family: Bacterial small subunit ribosomal RNA
Source: RNAcentral